CAAGUUCAACAAAUGGAAUACAAGAUGCUGUGGGAUGAAUUAACUGAAUCCCCUCCAGCCGCAGGCUCAAUCAGAACCAAGGCAAAAUUUCUCUGAAGACAUUUUUCUGAGAACAUUUCUGAGGUGUCUCUUUUUCACAUGCCCCUAGAAUAACAAGGCCACUCUGCAGAAUUCUCUCAGCAUAUUGCCUGCCGUUUUCUGUGGCAGCUGCCAUUCCACACACCUCUCUUUCACACACCCUCUAUCAGCGUCCCAGAAUGACUCUAACUUCAGGGCAUCAUGGUGGAUACAAAAUGGCGGCCCCAUUACCACCACAGUUGCCGCUACCACUUGCAGAGAUAGCAAAAUUAAAAAUUAGGUUUAAACAAAGGAAGAAGCUGUGCUAAUGGUGAGCCUCGCCUUUGAGAAACUCUUUGAGAAUGUCUCCUCUCUGGCAGAGAAGUUUGGUGAAAUGUUCCCCGCAAUUUCUCUCUUCCACAAACAGGACUUCAUGAGGCCUUUUAUUCUGCACUUGUCUCGUCUCAUGGCUCUUGUCAGCACCUUCAGCAGGUGGCCCAAUCUCUUCUGCGAUGUGACUCAUUUCCCCUCAGUUGCCAAGUUCUCUAGACUUGUGGGCUCACAGGCCUUCUUGAACAUUCAUGUAUAGAAAAUACUGUAAUUAAUAUACUUCCCUCUCUUUUUAUUCCAGCUUCCCUGAGGUUAAGUAGACUCUACUGCCAAUAGAUUUAUGCAUUUCAAUGUGUGAUUAGAAACAGAAUUAAUCUUAUUUAGGUUGAGGGGGAAAAAAUCAACAAUUGAACAACCUAAUCAAAGCAUUUAAAGAACUGCCGGAUUGUAUAUUAUAAAUCAUAACAUAAUUAGAACUGAAUUGAUUUUUCCAUUAACAUGAAAUUAAGACUAAUUUCCUCAUGCUAUAUUUACUCUAAUAUUCCCCAGAUGCAAAUGUGGAGUCGUAAAAUGUUUAGUAAAAAUGAUCUUCUAAUUGUUUCCUGGGUUGAGCCAUUACAUCAUCACUUUGAUUUCUUCUUUGAUGCUUCUAAACAAUGCUUCUCAUCCUUUGUCUUUUCCUGACAGUGCAGUAAAGAGCAACCUUCAAAUCCUGAAGACAUUACAGCACGGCUGAGAGAAAUAUCAUCCACUCCCCCUCAAAAUUGCUUGCUUAGGAAACAAUGUAAGUAAGGAUAUCAAUUUAAGUUAAUCCGCUUGAUUUCAUUUUAUACAAACAAGAGGCCUUCUGCUUUCCUCCUCAGCCAAUGGUUCAUAUACCACAGUGGUGGGGAACCCAUGGCCUAAUGGCUCAUUUAGGCCCACCAAGCAGCUCUAUUUGGCACACAGUGUUAUCUCAUCUAUUUAUUUUAUAAGAUGUCUUACCCACCUUUCACCAUAAGGUCUCAGGGGUAGGUUACUUCAGCACAGGACACAGUUAUAAAAACAGAUAAAACAAAGUAAAACUGGUUACUCUAGCCACUCUGGGCAGCUUCCAACAAAUUCAAACACAAUAUGACAUCAUUCAUUAAAAACUUCCCUUCAGAUGUCUUCUAAAAGUCAGAUAGUUGUCUAUCUGUUUGACAUCUGAUGGGAGGGCGUUCCACAGGGAGGGCACCACUGCUGAGAAGGCCCUGGGCCUGCUUCCCUGUAACUUCGCUUCUCUCUUCUUCUUUUUUUCUUUUUUUUUGAGCUGCAUCAUAUAUUUAUUUAUAAGUGCACAUAUUUGAUAAGACACACUUUCCAGAAGGGGAAAGGUUUAAUUAGAAAUAUCCCCAUGAGAUGUUCGAAUCGCAGGGCCAAACUGCAUGUGACAUGUAGUUGUGUGCCUCUUUCCCCUAGUGGUUUGUGUGGUGGUUGUUUUUUUAUUUUUUGUUUUUUUAAGAUAUUUAUUAAGGUUUUCAAGAUAUUACAAAAAAUAAAGAUAAAAAAAAAAAUACAAAAUAAAAAUGAUUAAAAACAACACAAUCUUUCCAUUACUUAUUUUUCAUUAGCUUGUUUCCCGGACCUCCUCACGCCUCCCUUUUGCUGAACCAACAAACUGAACUGGAAUACAGUUUGUUUAUCCUAGUCUUUAAUCUUAAAAUAUUGUAACAUUAGAUUUUUACCUGUUAAUAAUCCAUUUUUCAUAUUCCCUUAUGGUAUUUCAGCUAAAAACCACUUAAUUUCUAUCCAACAUCAUUCUAACAUUCAUUAAUUUUGCAAUAUUUCUGUAAGUAGUCUUUAAAUUUCUUCCAAUCCUCUUCCACCGACUCUUCUCCCUGGUCUCGGAUUCUGCCAGUCAUUUCCGCCAAUUCCAUAUAGUCAAUCACCUUCAUCUGCCAUUCUUCCAGAGUGGGUAGAUCUUGUGUCUUCCAAUACUUUGCGAUGAGUAUUCUUGCUGCUGUUGUGGCAUACAUGAAAAAAGUUCUAUCCUUCUUUGGCACCGAUUGGCCGACUAUGCCCAGGAGAAAGGCCUCUGGUUUCUUCAAGAAAGUAUAUUUAAAUACUUUUUUCAAUUCAUUAUAGAUCAUCUCCCAGAAAGCCUUAAUCCUUGGGCACGUCCACCAAAGGUGAAAGAAUGUACCUUCAGUUUCUUUACAUUUCCAACAUUUAUUAUCGGGCAAAUGAUAGAUUUUUGCAAGCUUGACUGGGGUCAUGUACCACCUGUAUACCAUUUUCAUAAUAUUCUCUCUUAAGGCAUUACAUGUCGUAAACUUCAUACCUGUGGUCCAUAACUUCGCUUCUCGCCCUCAGAGCUAGACCUGUGUCUGUGCUGGAUGAUGGAGGUGGAGAUGCACCAUAAUGUACAUAAUAAUGUACCUUGACUGUCAAAGAGUAGGAUAAAGAGCUGCAUCUUAAGCAUACAGUGGAAGCUGUACAAGGAAAAUGCUAGGUGUGUCCCUGCGUGAGGGAGUUCCACAGCUUAGGAGCUGUCACAGAGAAAGCCUGCUCCCAGGUCUCCAUUCACUACAUUUUCAAGGUUGGUGGAACUACCAAGAGAGGCCCCUGUGCCAAUCUUAACACCACAGUAGGAUAGAUGUGGUAGGUGCCCUCAGGGCCAGCCUCAAUGCCUGGAAUCCUUGAUCAGCUGCCUAGGCAUAAAGUACUCAGGUAGGGUCCUCUGCCAAUGCAUUCCCUGGGGUUCCUUUAAUUUUGUUUUCCUGGCCCAUCACCCUGAGCAGCAACAGGUGGAUAGAUGAUGUACAUUUCCUCCACUGCUAAGGAUGAGGGCCAAAUUCAUUCAGUUUGAAUUUCACAGCGGACCAACCCAAAUCAACAUUCCCAAACUUGCUUGCAGAUCAGAAUGCAGCUAUCGGUCAAAUUAUGCUCUUCUACAUUUUAAGCAAUGUACCUUCAGUCCCCCAAAACGUGCACACAUGGAUUUUGCUGAAAACGUGUACAAAAGGCAACUUUAGGAGGAAACUGCAUUGGGGAAAUGUGUAGUUUAAUGGAAGAACAUGUACAAAAUGCAUACAAUGUACAUGAAGAUUUUUCAUGCAUUCUUUUGGAAACUCUGUGAAAAAUAGGAUGGAGCGUAACUACAACUGAGUAUUAGCAAGGGUGGCACAGAACGGACUUAGGCUGAUCCACCCAUCUCUACCCAUAACCUAGCCUUGCUCUGGAGCAUUGGUGUGGGCAUGGGGGGGACAGAAUACAUUUAUUUAGCCAGGCAAUGCUGCUUCAAUCACUGCCACUGCAGCAGUGUAACCCUACCAAGUUCUGCUAAUGAAGGAGGGACCUCACCAGAGGACAUUUCACCCAGGGCCCCCUCAAAUCUGGAGUUGGUCCUCAGUACUCAGUGGGUGGCGCUGUGGUUUAAACCACUGCGCCACUUGGACUUGCCGUUUGGAAGGUCGGUGGUUCGAAUCCCCACAACUGGGUGAGCUCCCGUUAAUUGGUCCCAGCUCCUGCCUACCUAACAGUUCGAAAGCACGCAGUGCAAGUAGAUAAAUAGGUACCACUCCAACGGGAAGGUAAACGCCGUUUUCAUGCGCUACUCUGGCUUUGCCAGAAGUGGCUUAGUCAUGCUGGCCACAUGACCCGGAAAAACUGUCUGUGGAAGAAGACAAAUGCCAGCUCCCUUGGCCUGUAAAGCAAGAUGAGCGCCGCAACCUCAGAGUCGUUCGUGACUGGACUUAACGGUCAGGGGUCCCUUUACCUUUACUGGAGCAGUGGGGUGCCAUUUGCUGUUCCAACUCAGGUCAAUAAGAUGUAUUGGGCUGAAUUUGCUCCUACAGGAGGGAGCAAUGGCCACCAACAUGGAUGGCUUUAACAGUUUCGUAGAGGAUAAGCCUAUCAAUAGCAACUAGCCACAAAGGCUGUACUCUGCCUCCACAGUCAGAGGUAAUAAUGCUUCUGAAUACCAGUUGCUGGAAACCAUGGGAAGAGGGAGUGCUCUUGUGCUCAGGUCCUGCUUGUUAGUUUCCCACAGUCAUCUGGGUGGCCACAGUGAGAACAGGAUGCUGGACUAGAUGGGCCAUUGGCUCUUCUUAUGUUCUUACGACUGUCCAAAUGGUUAUUGUACAAACUGUGGCUUGCACCAGCUUGAUGGACAGCAGAAGCCCCACCCAACAAUGAGAGCAGCGUUUCCCAAACUCAGGUCUCCCGCUGUGUUCGGACUACGAUUCCCAUCAUCCCUGACCACUGGUUCUGCUAGCUAGGGGUGAUGGGAGUUGUAGUCCAAAAACAGCCGGCCACUCAAGUUUGGGAUAUACUGAUUUAGAGGAAGCACCACAGCUCAGUGGUGGAGCAUCUGCUCUUCACGUAGAAGUCUCAGGUUCAAUCAGCAGCAUCUCUGAGUAGGACUGGAUGAGACCCCCCCUCCCUGAAAUCCUAGAGCAGCGGUUCUCAACCUGUGGGUCCCCAGAUGUUGCUGGACUACAACUCCCAUCAUCCCUGAGCUCUGGCUUUGCUAGCUAGGGGUGAUGGGAGUUGUAGUUCAACAACAUCUGGGGACCCACAGGUUGAGAAAGGCUGUCCUAGAGAGACACUGCCAGUCAGUUUAGGCAUAACUGAACUAGGUUGGUCUGACUCCGGAUAAGGAAGCUUCCUGCAUUCCUAUGUUCUUAACACUCAGUUCAUCUUCAAAAUAAAUAAGUGAAAUGAAAGCUCUUUGUCGCGCUGAGAAAUUCCUCUGCUAACCCUUCUCCUCAUUCUCCAUGCAGUGUUACAUUCACUGCCUUAGGCUCUUCCUUUGCCUUCUUCUGAUGUGAAGGGGUUUUUUUUUUUUAAUUCUUGGAGCAUAUGGCUGGGGAAAUUGAGCGCUGAGACGCUACCUCACUCGAGCACGGACGCAAUCAGAUUUCUUGGGCUGUAAUUUCAUUUGCUCCAAAGGCCGCCCUUAAUCAGCAAGGCAAGUUUUUUAACCAACCAGGAUGGUUCCCUCCCCGCUUUUUGUCAGCAUAAUGCGCUCUUGACCUUGAGUGCUAAUUGGAUCUAAGUGCCCAGUGACCAACCCCAGGGAGCCUCCGUGCCUCAAGACCACAGGAACGUAUAAAGUAACUUGAUGUAAAUAUUUAAAAUAACAUGAUCGCCCUUUGCCGCAGGUAGAAGGAAAUGAGAGAACAGAGAUGGUGCAACUUUUAUAAGGAUAAUACAAGCUUGAGGAGAAAAGGGGGAAGGCGGUGGGGGGAGGACAAGUGAAAGUUGCAUGGUUUUAUCCCCAUGGAGGAUCAAUCCAUUUUAAAUAGAUUUAUACCUGGAAUUUGGUGGUCCUGACCCAUUUGGAUUUUGUUGGCAACUGAGCCUGGAUAGCUCAGUUGGUCAGAGCAUGGUGCUGAUAAAACCAAGGCUGCAGGUUCGAUCCCCGCAAGGGACAGCUGCAUAUUCCUGUAUUGCAAGGGGUUGGACUAAAUGAUCCUCAGGGUCUCUUCCAGCUCUAUGAUUCUAUGAAAGGGAAUCACUCUAGCCACCGAUCAGCUGAUGGGCAUCUUCAGGAGCCACACUCCCACGUGAGUCAUGUGACCCUCGUGAGAUCACACACCGGCCCCCAAAAGCACUAAUGUGAUUAUUAGGGAAACUUGCAUAAAAUGUCUGUGUUAAGAGAAAAUACUGAUGAAUUUUCAUGAGGACUGGGUUUUUUUAGAAAAAAAGAAAUUGCAAACUGAUGUGGAAAUGCGGAGAAUGGAAUUUAAGGUUAGAAAAUGAAAAAUGGAGAGAAACCCAAACUGACAAAUUCGCCAAUCCCUAGCUGGCAAUUUCAAUUCCUAAGAGCAAAACGACAAGACUUUCAUCCCAAACCAGCUCUAGAUAUGCUUAGUUAUUUUAGUUAGUUAGUUAGUUAGUUAGUUAGUUAGUGUGUGUUAUGGCACAAGGGGUGGUGGGGCCAGGUGAUAUAACACCGGUCUUGAAAGACCUACGUUGGCUCCCAGUACGUUUCCGAGCACAAUUCAAAGUGUUGGUGCUGACCUCUAAAGCCCUAAACGGCCUCGGUCCAGUAUAUCUGAAGGAGCGUCUCCACCCCCAUCUUUCUACCCGGACACUGAGGUCCAGCACCGAGGGCCUUCUGGCGGUUCCCUCACUGCGAGAAGCCAAGUUACAGGGAACCCAGGCAGAGGGCCUUCUCAGUAGUGGCACCCACCCUGUGGAACACCCUCCCACCAGAUGUCAAAGAGAGCAACAACUACCAGACUUUUAGAAGACAUCUGAAGGCAGCCCUGUUUAGGGAAGCUUUUAAUGUUUGAUGUAUUACAGUAUUUUAAUAUUUUUUUGGAAGCCGCCCAGAGUGGCUGGGGUAUAAAUAAUAAAUUAUUAUUAUUAUUAUUAUUAUUAUUAUUAUUAUUAUUAUUGGAAUACAGGUGAUCCUUCGCACUCUCCCCUCCUGUGGUUCUAAGCAUGAGAGAAGAAGAGUAUCUGCACAGAGCGUCAGUGAAUCACCUUAUUUGUCAAGGCCGUAAGUCAUAACAUCUGUAGAAAACCAUAAAAACAAAAUAAAAUUUACAAUUCGGUGA
Molecule: non-coding RNA, 6917 nt
Organism: Podarcis lilfordi (Lilford's wall lizard)
Lineage: Eukaryota; Metazoa; Chordata; Lepidosauria; Squamata; Lacertidae
Source: the annotation of a GenBank genome assembly